RNAcentral lists this ribosomal RNA (359 nucleotides) under uncultured fungus. Its description in RNAcentral is "eukaryotic LSU rRNA". The stretch from base 1 to 141 matches the Rfam family "5.8S ribosomal RNA". The record is from RNAcentral. Lineage: Eukaryota; Fungi.
GGAUCUCUUGGUUCUGGCAUCGAUGAAGAACGCAGCGAAAUGCGAUAAGUAGUGUGAAUUGCAGAAUUCAGUGAAUCAUCGAAUCUUUGAACGCACAUUGCGCCCUUUGGUAUUCCGAAGGGCAUGCCUGUUCGAGCGUCAUUUGUACCCUCAAGCUAUGCUUGGUGUUGGGUGUUUGUCCUAUCCAUUGCGACUGGACUCGCCUUAAAGAUAUUGGCAGCCGGCAUUUUGGCCUUGGAGCGCAGCACAAUUUGCGAGUCCAAGCCGGAAUACUGACGUCCAGAUAAGCUUUUUACCACGUCUGACCUCGGAUCAGGUAGGGAUACCCGCUGAACUUAAGCAUAUCAAUAAGCGGAGGA